AUGAACGCUGGCGGCGUGCUUAACACAUGCCAGUCGAACGGAAAGGCCCAAGCUUGCUUGGGUACUCGAGUGGCGAACGGGUGAGUAACACGUGGGUGAUCUGCCCUGCACUUCGGGAUAAGCCUGGGAAACUGGGUCUAAUACCGGAUAGGACCCCAUUUUGGAUGGUGUGGUGGAAAGUUUUUCGGUGUGGGAUGAGCUCGCGGCCUAUCAGCUUGUUGGUGGGGUAAUGGCCUACCAAGGCGUCGACGGGUAGCCGGCCUGAGAGGGUGUACGGCCACAUUGGGACUGAGGUACGGCCCAGACUCCUACGGGAGGCAGCAGUGGGGAAUAUUGCACAAUGGGCGCAAGCCGGAUGCAGCGGCGCCGCGUGGGGGAAGACGGCCUUCGGGUUGUAAACUCCUUUCGCUAGGGACGAAGCGUUAUGUGACGGUACCUGGAGAAGAAGCACCGGCUAACUACGUG
RNAcentral lists this ribosomal RNA (465 nucleotides) under uncultured bacterium. Its description in RNAcentral is "partial 16S ribosomal RNA". It matches the Rfam family "Bacterial small subunit ribosomal RNA", at positions 29 to 507 of the family's 1533-position model. The record is from RNAcentral.